GUCUAUGGCCAUGCCAUCCUGAAUAAGCCCGAUCCUGUCUGAUCUCGGAAGCUAAGCAGGGUCGGGCCUGGCUAGUACUUGGAUGAGAGACCACCUAGGAAGACCAGGUGCUGUGGGCA
Molecule: ribosomal RNA, 119 nt
Filed under: Pteropus alecto (black flying fox)
Lineage: Eukaryota; Metazoa; Chordata; Mammalia; Chiroptera; Pteropodidae
Source: RNAcentral